AAGUCGUAACAAGGUUUCCGUAGGUGAACCUGCGGAAGGAUCAUUAACAAAUUAUCUGACCAAAACACUAACGGGGGUCACAUCCCGUUUUUGUAUCCCAACCAAACAGCGAACUAACCGCAAGGGCUGGGCGUCAUGCUCAGUUCUCCCUUGCGUUUUUUCUCUUUUUUUUCCCAAUUUUAAAACCCAAUGAAACAUUUUGACUGAACCUUGUUUUUGCUCUCGAAAGGGAGGAGAACAAUGAAAAAAAAAAAACCAAAUAACAACUCUUAACAACGGAUAUCUUGGCUCUC
RNAcentral lists this unclassified non-coding RNA (293 nucleotides) under fungal sp. RNAcentral describes it as "partial internal transcribed spacer region". The stretch from base 1 to 46 matches the Rfam family "Eukaryotic small subunit ribosomal RNA", at positions 1786 to 1831 of the family's 1831-position model. The record is from RNAcentral. Lineage: Eukaryota; Fungi.